RNAcentral lists this unclassified non-coding RNA (20 nucleotides) under Mus musculus (house mouse). Its description in RNAcentral is "oocyte_clustered_small_RNA8654". Lineage: Eukaryota; Metazoa; Chordata; Mammalia; Rodentia; Muridae. The record is from RNAcentral.
UGGGAUCUGCCAAACCAUAA